This 1697-nucleotide long non-coding RNA is filed under the name Panax ginseng (ginseng). RNAcentral describes it as "long non-coding RNA (PGIN_LNC012586)". Lineage: Eukaryota; Viridiplantae; Streptophyta; Magnoliopsida; Apiales; Araliaceae. The record is from RNAcentral.
GUGACAGCGUUAGAAUCAAUGAAUAUAUUCCCAGCGUGCACACUGUCAGAUUGUAACACUAGUAAAAGUAAGAAUAAUACCAAGUAGCACAUCUAAAGUGAUGCAUGACAGAAAUUUCUAUUUCCGAAGUGGGUUUUUAUCAUGGGACAAGAUAGAAUCUUUUAGGCACAGGGAAAAAUAUAAAUGAACAAUCUUUCAGCACAUGAGAUUUACUUUAAAGAGUCAUAGUAAGGCUGUAAUAAAUGUGGAGUGGCUAUCUCUUUCAUGACAAUCAAAAAAAAUGAGUGUUAGUCUGGUGAGAACAAAACCGAUGACUCAUGUGUAGAACUAAGUAUGGAGAUAAAUACCUUCACAUCUCUAUUGAUAGUUCAGCUUCAAGAACAACCUAAUUGACAUUACAAUCGGUAAAUAUAACCAUUAUUAUUUCUUUUCUAUUCUUAUUUGGUUUGUUUAUCUAACGUGUCAAAUCAUAAAAUUAUAAAUAGAAAAAUACUUUAUGACAAGUUACAAACUAUGCACGUGAGUCGCAGUACUUGCAGAAUAAUAUAUUAAAGAUACUCGGAGAAUAUAUCUACAAAAUAUGCCAUAUGGUUCUAGUGUGAUGGGAUAUAAAAGAUACCUCUCACUUUGAAAAAAAAAUAUUACGUCGUCAUCUAAUAGCUACAAAUUCCAUUCCGGAUAAAGUUCAUAUACAACCAAAAUUUAAUGAAGACAUCAACUUCUAAUAGUUAAUAAAACAACAAACUAAUGCAGUUAGCACCAUUCUACACAAAUCGAUGGCAACAAUAACAAACUCUACAUGUAACAACCAAUGAUUAAAUCAUCAUUAGUCUUUACUAUCAUAAUCUUGGAGUGAAUCAUACCAAAUUACAGGACCUGAACAAUGACGCAAAUAAUGAGAAGAUCUAAAGACUACCCUCAAAACUAGCAGCAAUCUCUUUAAAUUUGUUCAGUAAUUUCUUACUUAGGAUCUAACUUCAGAAGUGACAAUUAAAUCUCACGAUUCCACAAACAUUCACUGCCAUGUAUAAUUCAUAUAAUCCAGAAAUUUUACAAAUUAAGUAUACAACAUAAAAUCCCAGAAACUAUACUUCCAUCAAUCUAUUGAUCAUUUGAAUGUCAAUUGAACACCAAAAAUUGACUCCACCAACAAGUAGAAUUGAUCAGAAACAUAAUUAUAUACAAAACACAAUUUGCCUAUAAAUUUUUUUUAUAUAAACGCUUACUCAUAAAUUAUACAGUAAAAAAAUGAUCUGAUAAUGAGAUUACUACAAAAGAACAGUACCAACUAGGGUUUUGAACACCAUAGGGAAUUUCCGCCCGAAUGAUAGAACUGAAAUGAAGAACAGAAGAUUGGUCUUUAUACAAAGAGAAAACCUCGAGCAAAUCCCUCGACUACUCCGCAGCUGAUCAAAUCCACAUCGUUAAUAUUGAAACAGAAACAAACAAAUCGAUAUCUUCUAGGCUAGGUUCCAACUUCUAAUACCAGGGGCUUGCAAAAAUCCCGGUAUUUUCCGUAAAUUAUCCCGGUUGAGUAUUAAUUUUUUUCCCGGUACUGUAACUACUGUUUAUCAUUAUUUUAAAGAGUAUAAUUUAUGAGCAAACCUUUACUUAUAAUAUUUUAUAUGAGCAUUUAUUCAUCAAUUGUAUCGUUAAGAGAGUAAAAAAAAUUAGAGAGAAAUUUUUUAAGGGUGUUG